CUUAAGGUGGAGUAGAUGGCGGAUCGGGUGAGAGGCGCCAAGAUGAACUGGACCAGGAAAAAAAGAAUUGGCAUCAAGAUUGAAGGGGCGAUAUGGAAACGCAUGGAGGUCAUUCUGAAGGAAAUCAGAGAGCUCGGAAGGAUGAGGAAAAGGAAGAAUUCCACACCAAGAAUAAAGCGCCACACAGAUAAGUUGUUUGUUCAUCUGUUUGCAGGGCGGAUGUAAAGAGUAAACAGGAGGGAGCAGAGUACGGAGCUUUGAGGUUUGCCUUGGUUGACUGUUGCUACGGAAGGUAGUUUGGCGGUAGGUCUGAUUGUCAUGACGGCAGGCAGGGAAAGCGUCGGGAGAGUUGAUAGUCGGACGUGGCGGUUUGGUUCAGUGGUGUUUGCGAAGGAAGGAAGGUCGAGACGGUCCGCAGGUUGUUUGGCUUGUCUCGGUCCCGAGCAGCUCUUUGUUUUGAGUUGACGUUUCCAGACUGAAAGUGGAAAUGCUGUGCCGGUUCAAGAGCCUAGCAACCAGUAUGUCUCGGUUACGUUGUUUGUCUACUUCCUCACUAACUCGCUGGGUGUGCAUACAAUAACACGGACUUGUGAUUAUUUUUGUGUCUGGAGCUGAGCUGAAUGUGCUUGUUGUAAGCUUUUCACUGGUACAGCUUAGUGGCUUGUCGGUUGAAUGCAGCUACAGUUUUGUUUGUGUUUGGCAAGGUGUGAUUUGUCACGAUGCUGCGCAGGCAUGCAAAGUUUUCAUCGGUCUGAAGUUCAAAUGUCUUCCAAUUCUGGAAUGACAGGUUAGUUUUUUUGCGAUUGCAGGUUGGAGGAGGAUGAGACGUUUGGGUGAGGAGGCAAGAAAGAGAACCAGGAGGAGAAUGGAAGAGGAGCUGGAUGAAAGAGAAGAGCUCGGAAGUACGUGGAAUGGGAUGAGGAAAAGGAUUGUUCCUUGUUCCACACCGAGAAUAAAGCAGCACACAGAUGUUUGUUCAUCGAUUUGCAGGGCGGAUGGUGAAGACCAACAAUUGGACAUAACCGGCAUGCAGUUCCAAGAUGAACAGCGUCUUCUCCCUUGAGGCA
Molecule: long non-coding RNA, 1067 nt
Organism: Phycodurus eques (leafy seadragon)
Lineage: Eukaryota; Metazoa; Chordata; Actinopteri; Syngnathiformes; Syngnathidae
Exons: 6
Source: RefSeq, a predicted model, not a curated record